This 301-nucleotide ribosomal RNA is filed under the name uncultured bacterium. RNAcentral's name for it is "partial 16S ribosomal RNA". It matches the Rfam family "Bacterial small subunit ribosomal RNA", at positions 509 to 809 of the family's 1533-position model. The record is from RNAcentral.
CAGUAGCCACGGUAAUACGUAGGUGGCAAGCGUUGUCCGGAAUUAUUGGGCGUAAAGCGCGCGCAGGCGGAUCAGUCAGUCUGUCUUAAAAGUUCGGGGCUUAACCCCGUGAUGGGAUGGAAACUGCUGAUCUAGAGUAUCGGAGAGGAAAGUGGAAUUCCUAGUGUAGCGGUGAAAUGCGUAGAUAUUAGGAAGAACACCAGUGGCGAAGGCGACUUUCUGGACGAAAACUGACGCUGAGGCGCGAAAGCCAGGGGAGCGAACGGGAUUAGAUACCCCCGUAGUCCCUGUCUCUUAUACA